GAUGAACGCUGGCGGCGUGCCUAAUACAUGCCAGUCGAGCGAACAGACGAGGAGCUUGCUCCUCUGACGUUAGCGGCGGACGGGUGAGUAACACGUGGAUAACCUACCUAUAAGACUGGGAUAACUUCGGGAAACCGGAGCUAAUACCGGAUAAUAUAUUGAACCGCAUGGUUCAAUAGUGAAAGACGGUUUUGCUGUCACUUAUAGAUGGAUCUGCGCCGCAUUAGCUAGUUGGUAAGGUAACGGCUUACCAAGGCGACGAUGCGUAGCCGACCUGAGAGGGUGAUCGGCCACACUGGAACUGAGACACGGUCCAUACUCCUACGGGAGGCAGCAGUAGGGAAUCUUCCGCAAUGGGCGAAAGCUUGACGGAGCAACGCCGCGUCAGUGAUGAAGGUCUUCGGAUCGUAAAACUCUGUUAUUAGGGAAGAACAAAUGUGUAAGUAACUAUGCACGUCUUGACGGUACCUAAUCAGAAAGCCACGGCUAACUACGUG
This 497-nucleotide ribosomal RNA is filed under the name uncultured bacterium. Its description in RNAcentral is "partial 16S ribosomal RNA". It matches the Rfam family "Bacterial small subunit ribosomal RNA", at positions 28 to 507 of the family's 1533-position model. The record is from RNAcentral.